RNAcentral lists this ribosomal RNA (671 nucleotides) under Prorocentrum lima. RNAcentral's name for it is "partial large subunit ribosomal RNA". It matches the Rfam family "Eukaryotic large subunit ribosomal RNA", at positions 38 to 657 of the family's 3401-position model. The record is from RNAcentral. Lineage: Eukaryota; Dinophyceae; Prorocentrales; Prorocentraceae.
GCAUAUUAGUAGGCGGUGGAAGAUAACCCAAAAGGGAUUCCUUCAGUAAUGGCGAAUGAACGGGGAAAAGCUCAGCAAAGAAAUCGAGGACUCCGGCCUUGAGUUGUGGACUUGAGAGGUAUCGCCAAUGGUGGCACAGGUGGGGGCCUCUUGGAAAAGGGCACCACAGAGGGUGUGAGUCCUGUUUGCCAUCUGUAGUCCGCCGUGUACGGCAUGCCUCCUCAGAGUCACGUUCCUUGGAAUUGGAGCGCGAAGGUGGUGGUGGCUUUCAUCUCAAGCUAAGUAUGGGUUCGAGACCGAUAGCAAACAAGUACCAUGAGGGAAAAUUGAAAAGAGCUUUGGAAAGAGAGUUAAAAGUGCCCGAACUUGCUGAUAGGGAAGCGAAGGGAGCUGACGUUGCUUGGUAACAUCUUCUGCGCAAGACUAGGAUGGGUUCUGAUUGCAAUGUGUGUAGUGUUUCUUGCCGUGCGUGUCGAUGCCAAGCAAUGAGUGGAGAGAGCUCCAGGGAUAUGAUUGUUUCUGUCCCCGGGUAGACGAAGGUGCCUGGUUGCAUCCAUUCGUGGGCUGAAAAAUUGGUGGCUGGUUGCAGCAUUCCCUUGCCAACUAAUGCAAUUGGAGUGUAGCCCUGACAUGCAGACGAGGACAAAGUGCUUCUGUUCGACCCGUCUUGA